This 450-nucleotide ribosomal RNA is filed under the name uncultured organism. RNAcentral describes it as "partial 16S ribosomal RNA". It matches the Rfam family "Bacterial small subunit ribosomal RNA", at positions 331 to 797 of the family's 1533-position model. The record is from RNAcentral.
GUACACUCCUGCGGGAGGCAGCAGUGGGGAAUAUUGGACAAUGGGCGCAAGCCUGAUCCAGCCAUGCCGCGUGAGUGAUGAAGGCCCUAGGGUUGUAAAGCUCUUUCACCGGUGAAGAUAAUGACGGUAACCGGAGAAGAAGCCCCGGCUAACUUCGUGCCCGCAGCCGCGGUAAUACGAAGGGGGCUAGCGUUGUUCGGAUUUACUGGGCGUAAAGCGCACGUAGGCGGACUAUUAAGUCAGGGGUGAAAUCCCGGGGCUCAACCCCGGAACUGCCUUUGAUACUGGUAGUCUUGAGUUCGAGAGAGGUGAGUGGAAUUCCGAGUGUAGAGGUGAAAUUCGUAGAUAUUCGGAGGAACACCAGUGGCGAAGGCGGCUCACUGGCUCGAUACUGACGCUGAGGUGCGAAAGCGUGGGGAGCAAACAGGAUUAGAUACCCUUGUAGUCCCA